GAUGAACGCUAGCUACAGGCUUAACACAUGCAAGUCGCGGGGCAGCAUGGGGGUUGCUUGCAAUCCCCGAUGGCGACCGGCGCACGGGUGAGUAACGCGUAUCCAACCUGCCCUUCACCACGGGAUAACCCGGCGAAAGUCGGACGAAUACCGUAUGUUGUCCAUUGACGGCAUCCGAUUUGGACGAAAGGCUUGGCGGUGAGGGAGGGGGAUGCGUCCGAUUAGCCAGACGGCGGGGUAACGGCCCACUGUGGCUACGAUCGGUAGGGGUUCUGAGAGGACGGUCCCCCACACUGGAACUGAGACACGGUCCAGACUCCUACGGGAGGCAGCAGUGAGGAAUAUUGGUCAAUGGGCGUAAGCCUGAACCAGCCAAGUAGCGUGCAGGAUGACGGCCCUAUGGGUUGUAAACUGCUUUUAUGCGGGGAUAAAGUGGCCCACGUGUGGGCUUUUGCAGGUACCGCAUGAAUAAGGACCGGCUAAUUCCGUG
This 490-nucleotide ribosomal RNA is filed under the name uncultured bacterium. RNAcentral's name for it is "partial 16S ribosomal RNA". It matches the Rfam family "Bacterial small subunit ribosomal RNA", at positions 28 to 507 of the family's 1533-position model. The record is from RNAcentral.